ACAACCUGGCAGGGGAGACACCAUGAUCAAGAAGGUGGUUCACCCAGGGCGAGCACUCCGGCCGUGCUGACCCCUGCGAAUCGAGAUUCCCCAAAUGUGGGAAUCUCAACUGCAUAAUUUAUGGUAGUGGGGGACUGUAUUCGCGCUCUCCCCUG
RNAcentral lists this small nuclear RNA (155 nucleotides) under Sinocyclocheilus rhinocerous. RNAcentral's name for it is "U1 spliceosomal RNA (ENSSRHG00000020805.1)". It matches the Rfam family "U1 spliceosomal RNA". Rfam says of the family: U1 is a small nuclear RNA (snRNA) component of the spliceosome (involved in pre-mRNA splicing). Its 5' end forms complementary base pairs with the 5' splice junction, thus defining the 5' donor site of an intron. The record is from RNAcentral. Lineage: Eukaryota; Metazoa; Chordata; Actinopteri; Cypriniformes; Cyprinidae.